CUUUUGUUUGUUGUCCUUAGCUGGCUGAUUGAUGUUGUUAUGUAUGGUUGUUGCUUCGUACACCCUUCUGCUGUGAAUUUGCGAGCUAAGAUCUCGUUUAUGGUGUCAAAUACAAGCUUCCUCCUGCUUCUCUCUAUCAGGACGAAGAAAAGGCUCGGAUUGAUGGGUAGGUGUGCUUGGUGCAGCUGAAUGCUUAGCAUGCUGUAGUCGAUAUCUCUUAGAAGCCCAGAUGCUAACAGUAUCUCUGAGAUGUACUUGUGGUCACCGUUGUUUAAUUCCGCACCUUCUUCCCUGAUACCCUCAGUAAGUUCAGCAUCUGACUGAUUUAGACUCCCGUUACUCUCAGUCUCAGGCCACACAAUCGACCUACGUAAGGUUCUGUGCUUGUUCAUCCACUCGGACUCUUCAGAACGUAGAUGAUCAUCGUCUGUGGCAAGAGAAACAGUAAAGGGGAUGGUGACUCAUCUUCGUCGAAGGCUACAUCAAGAACUGAAACCGGGCUUGGCUGCUCCACCGUAACUUUCAGAGGUUUUGGUAACGACCUCAUUCCCAGUUCUGGACUCUGCAUUUAUAGAACAGAUGGACUCAGUGAAACAUGUACUAGUGAAUAACUUGACAAGUGAAUUUGCGUUAGGGGAGAAAAGUUUAUACCCUUUGUUUUGGUGUGUGCUGCUCCGUGAAGUCGCUGUUCCUUUCAUAUUUGUAUCUGCUUGUAACCUCACUGUCCAGGUUAGAAGCCGAGCUUACGUUGCUGUCGGAUCUUAGACUUCUCCAGUCACUGCUUUCAUCACUCAAACGGUCUUCUGAUUGCUGCACGCUCCGAGGUUUUCUUCUUGGGGAGGCUGAUUCGGUCUGUUGCCUACUAAGCUUUUGUCUUUGGAUCCUGUUCUGUUCUGGUUUUGGAGACGUUGGUCUAGACUGCUUCUCCAACCCGAGCUUCUUCGACUGUGUUCUUGGGCUGACACUAGGCUUUCCUGACUUGGCCAUCUCAUUUUUGGGCAGUAACUGUCUGGAACCAGUGUUUUUUGUUGGUGAAUCUGUUUGGCCCUUGUAAACUCCUGGCCUUGGUGUCACAUCCAUGGCGCUCUGCUUCUUCGGAUUGACUCUCUGGCUUUGCCUCUGGUUUGAAACCUUGACACUUGGUAAAGUAACACUCCGUGGCGAGUAAGAGGCGGAACCAUAAUUGCCUGUCUCUUUGAAAACUGAAGCAGUUGCUGCGUUCAUUACUACCGUAGACGAAGAUCUGGAACUCUUGGACGGCGGGCUUGUUGUUGCUGCUGAUGGAACUGGCUGCAUGAAAUUGGUUGAACUCAGAGUAUUGUUGUCAUCAUCUUUGUUUAUCAACUUCUGUGUCGUCUCCAUUGCUUCGAGUAUUUGCUUUAGAGCGCUGAGAUCUUUCUCGGACUUUUUGAACUCAAGCUGCGAAAGCCGCUUCUGUAUCUCACCAUAAACCGUCACCGUAGUGGCCGCAUCAACUGCUUUCAUAGGAAACUUAACAGGCAUCAUCUUCUUGAUUGGAUCAGAACUUCUUGAUCUUUGUAGAUCUGCAUCCACUCGUGAAGUUGGCCUCGGGGAGUCGCAGAAGCGGUUCUCUCUGACCUGAUCAGUAACAGACUCGUCUGGAAUGAAUUCAAGACCCAUCAGUUUGGCAACAACACUCGACGUUGUUCUUCUGUGACCCGUUACAAGCUCUUGCGGCUCUGGUGAAGAACUAGAUCUUGCACUCCUAAAGGAAUUCGAUCUACUGUCUAACGACAACCUCGGUGUCUCUUUGAACUUGGCGCCUGUCUUCCUUGCCUCCCUCUCAUCGUAAGAGAACCGAGGACUGUCUUUCAGCUUCACUACUCUCCUUCCUUCGCUCCAUUCAUUAGAAUUCCGAGAUGGUGAUGAUUCAUUGAGAAGAGACACGUUAGAUUUUGCUGAUUUAGGUUGUUGCUGAGACACGGCUUCUUCUUCAUCUCUGGCUCUGGUCUCCUUAUGAAUGGAGUUUCUCACAAGCUCCCUUAAACCACUCGACAAUCUUAUGGGAUUCUCACCAUUACUCGUUUGCAUCAAACCUGGUUGUUCAAACUGAGAUGUCGUGGUGCUGAUAUCUGCAGACGAGAAGCUCGAGGAACAUUGUGAAGAAGAAAACGACAGCCUAGAUGAUGAUUCAGAGGAUACUACCCUUUGUUUCUCCUUUGCAACCUUCUUCUUCUUCUUCUUCUUACUCUUCUCCUACAAUUCAGGUUUUAAAUUUUUAAUGGAGAGAACAAACAUAGCAAGCAAAGACGUAAAGAGAAGGGAAUGUUACCUGAAGGCAUAGACUUGACCUCGUCUCCGGCUACAACAACACGUCUCGCAGGAUAAUGUUGCCGGUAAAAUACCUGGAAGAUCCCAUUCAUACAUCCAAAUUGUUUAUUCAGAUUUGGAUUCUCGUCCGACAAGUUAUACAAAAGCUUUGCCGACAUCUUCUUCUUUGUCUUCUUUAGCUCUGGUUCGUAGAAGGUUUAGUCUUCUUUACUCUAUCAUAUAAGUUCUUGAAAAUCUGCAGUUUUAGGUUUCUCCUCUGUUUUGUGCCUCAUGGAAAGUAGAAGAAGAAGAAGAGACGGGAGGACAAAGAACCUAGCAUUAAGGUAACGGAAAAGCUACUUGUGAAGUUAUGACCAGACAAGAUAUUAGGUUUCUUUGUGUUUGUUCUCUUGGAGGGUUCCUUGAAGAAGAAAGAAGAGAAUGGAAAAAGUGGUUUUUUUUGUUUGUGUUGUUUGAGAGAAAUGAAUCUGUAAAAGGCAAAAGAGCUCUCUCUUUCUAUACAAUUAUAUGGAGAAGCUCGUGAAGCAUAUAUAACAUCGGUUGUGUGAUGUAUAUACACAUGCGUGUACACAUGUAUACGUGUGUAUCCGUAGAUUUAUAAGUGUAAGAGAAUGUAAUUGAAUUGUUUAAUGUUUAAAAUAAAAUUUGUGACAAA
Molecule: long non-coding RNA, 2947 nt
Organism: Raphanus sativus (radish)
Lineage: Eukaryota; Viridiplantae; Streptophyta; Magnoliopsida; Brassicales; Brassicaceae
Exons: 4
Source: RefSeq, a predicted model, not a curated record